UUUUUUUUUUGGUUUUGCAGUGCUCUUGUUUCUUCUUCGUUUGCUCUGGAAAAAAGAAAUGGGUGCCCUCGCUCAUGUUUCCGUUUCAGAUGAAGAGGAAGAACGGAACAAAAAACUUCUAGAAGCUGGGAAUGAGCUUCUUCAGCAGCCUACUUCUUCUUCUUCUACAGAGGAGCUUCUGGAGAAGCUUGAUAAUUUAGAGCAUCUUUUGUCAAUGGUGAAACAAGUUCCCCCUGCAUCAGCACGAG
Molecule: unclassified non-coding RNA, 248 nt
Filed under: Hevea brasiliensis (rubber tree)
Lineage: Eukaryota; Viridiplantae; Streptophyta; Magnoliopsida; Malpighiales; Euphorbiaceae
Source: RNAcentral